GUGGGGAAUCUUCCGCAAUGGACGAAAGUCUGACGGAGCGACGCCGCGUGAGUGAAGAAGGCCUUCGGGUCGUAAAGCUCUGUCAUCAGGGACGAACGGCCGGUGGAGUGGAAAGCCACCGGAUUGACGGUACCUGAGAAGGAAGCCACGGCUAACUACGUGCCAGCAGCCGCGGUAAUACGUAGGUGGCAAGCGUUGUCCGGAAUUAUUGGGCGUAAAGCGCGCGCAGGUGGGAUCUUAAGUCCAUUUUGAAAGUUCGGAGCUCAACUCCGUGAUGGGAUGGAAACUGGGAUUCUUGAGUACCGGAGAGGAAAGCGGAAUUCCCCGUGUAGCGGUGAAAUGCGUAGAUAUGGGGAGGAACACCAGUGGCGAAGGCGGCUUUCUGGACGGUGUCUGACACUGAGGCGCGAAAGCUAGGGGAGCGAACGGGAUUAGAAACCCCAGUAGCC
RNAcentral lists this ribosomal RNA (449 nucleotides) under uncultured bacterium. RNAcentral's name for it is "partial 16S ribosomal RNA". It matches the Rfam family "Bacterial small subunit ribosomal RNA", at positions 354 to 795 of the family's 1533-position model. The record is from RNAcentral.